Non-coding RNA from Pogona vitticeps (central bearded dragon), 1186 nucleotides. NCBI's taxonomy places the organism in Eukaryota, Metazoa, Chordata, Lepidosauria, Squamata, Agamidae. The record is from RefSeq and is a predicted model, not a curated record.
AGGAGACGAGGCAGUCGGACCAGCAGGGUUGUUGCCAGAGCGGGGCGACCCAGUUGACAGGAAAGGGCCCUGGCCUGGUGGGCGAGGUGGAAGGAGGGGGCCGAUCGGGGAACCCAGUUAAAGGGCGAAACGGAGCCGGCACGCUGGAAGGGGCCGCAGCGGCCCGGCUGAGGAGUUUUGGAGGCGAGGGAGAGAAAGCGAGCGUGCAAGAGCGCGCGCCCUUCUUCCCCGCCGUCGGGGGAAGCGAGCCGAAGGUUGCAAAACUUGCAGGGAAUCCUUCCUUCCUUCCGUGGCAAGGCCGCUCUUCUUCUCUAGGAGGCCCGCGCAGCCGCCUCGCUGCGACUCCUUCCCCCACCACCACCCCGGCGCAUUGCCAGGCCGAUUCCCUCCUGCUGCUCCGACCACGCAGGAUUAAGGCCUGGAAAGCGGAGGUGCGGUAGCUCUUUUGGCCUGUUCCUUAAGCAGCUCUUGCCUCUAGCUCCUCCUAAAUGCCACUCGAGAAACAGGAAUUAAGGAAGGCUAUCCGAACAGGAAGGUCUUUGCCUGCCAGUAUAUGGACAAGAAGAUCGGAGACAACCUGGCAUAGUGAAUAUUCAAGAGUCUUGGACCAGCCGCUGGAAAGGCCCUCACUCAUGUCCUCUGGUGAUACCACAGACCAUCACAAACAGGCUGCAGACAGCUCUCCCUUCUUUUGGAAAAGGCCAGCCAGAAAACCUGAGACAACCAGAGAAAAUUGGGACCAUAGCUGAAGGAAAAGUGGAUUGGCAAAGUUUCCUCAAGUUCUGGACACUUGAUGAAAACAGUUCUGCUCCUGCCCCCCAAUGCCAAACUGCAAAAUAAGAACUUUUACCAUUCUGGCUGCUCUCAUCUGGACAUGUGGGAAAUGAGGAAAACCAGUGACCCUGACUGUGUUGUGGGCAGGCCAAAUUGUCCAGACCAUCUGUUCCUUUGGAAGACCUUUCAAGAACUAACGAGAGUGGGUCUUCCGUAUUGGCUGAACAUAACUAAAUGAAUCAAGUUAUGUGAUUGUUCUGAAUAACAGUGAAACGACUGCAUCAACUUCUGAAGCAAACCUGCAGGUCUACACAGUGCCUGUCAUACUGCACAACACCUCAGGGGCUUGGAUGGAAUGGCAAAAAAAUAAAAUAAAAAUACCAUAUUUCUUUUUUUUGUAGAAAAAAAAAUU